Non-coding RNA from Mobula hypostoma (lesser devil ray), 3361 nucleotides. Lineage: Eukaryota; Metazoa; Chordata; Chondrichthyes; Myliobatiformes; Myliobatidae. The record is from the annotation of a RefSeq genome assembly.
GCCUGCGCUGAUGUCUGGAACCUUCUCUGUUUAACAGGCUUUCAGGUCGUGAAGGAACAAUGAAUAUUUUAUAUGUUUCGAUAUUUUUAACCUGGUUGCCGAAUGCCUUCAGUGCAUGGGUAGAACAAACACCAAGAGAAGCAACGAAACAACCAGGCGAAACUCUGACCAUCAACUGUGUUUUAAGAGAUGCUGCCUGUGGCCUGUAUAGCACAUCAUGGUUCAUCCAAAGAAAGGGUCGAUCGGAUUGGGAAAGGCUAUCUAUUGGAGGACGAUAUGCGGAAUCAGUCAACAAGCCAACAAAGUCCUUUUCCCUGCAGAUCAGCAACCUAAUCGUUGAAGACACGGCCACGUAUUUUUGUAAAGCUCAAGACCACACUAACGCAGCUGAGCACACGCCAAUUCAAAAAGAUUGAAAAUCUUGCACGCGAGAAUCUCUGACUGCUUCGCUCUUCUGGAAACGAAAAUUACUGAGCAGCAGUUGAUUCCGCUGUAGAGCGAGUGUACAUCAGUACUAAGUUGGCGACAGUCACAAUGCCGCUUUUAUCCAAGUGGACGCAGUUGGAGGUGCAUCGUCAGUAUUCUCCCAGAGUUAUGUAAAUGGAGACCUUAUUGCUAUUGAAUCAACCACUGUGCCACUAUAUACUGUCACAGUGAUCCAAAACACGGACUCUGCAAUUCAAAAACCAUCAAUGCAUUUGAUAAUUGGAGAAAAGUCAAUGUUAACCCGGUCCUGAAUUGUACAAUGAAGAUAUAUAAUGUAUAAAACUGUACACUAUUUUCGAAGGAUUAUUGGUUAUAAAAAAAGUUGUAUAGAAUAAUGCUUUAGGAACUAGAUUGUAAUUUGCGCUGUGACCUCGGUUUCUUGUAUUAAAGUAGAAGGAACCUUUCAGUACUAGUAUCAAUGACUGUGUGGAUGGGUGUUGUCACAGUGAUGAAUCUUCAGUCCCGGUCAUGCAUAAAUCGUCUCGGCGGUUAUUAAUGCCAAAUUAAUGCAAGAUAUUCCUUUAGGGACUAAAACUGCGUUCAGACAAACAUUCUUUAUCUCUGCCAGAGAAUGGUACACAAAGCGCAGCCUUGCUCUAUAUGUUUGCAUAAUUGCAGUACAUAUGUGAUCAUCAUAUUAAUAAGAAAGUCUUGAUAUUAUCUACCUGGCUGAGAGCUAUUAUCGACGGGAUUUAAACAGACCAGUGCAACCAUUUCAUUCAUGUCCCCUACCAUCGUAUCAUGGACGUUGAAUUCUACCUACAGUCCUGGUACUCCUGUAUUAUUGUGGAAAGCCUCCGUCUACAAUUCAGUUGCAAUGAUUACUUCUUGAAUUGUACUGAAUAGGAAGUUAAUCAUUGUGUUAUUAUUACCAUGACGGAGCUGGCACAAAGCUGACUGUGAUACCUGCAAAACAACCGACCCCGCCAAACAUCAAUCUUGUAUAUUCUGCAACUACUGAACAAAAAGCACGGGGGUUUGUGGAAUUGAUUUGUCUCAUGAGCGAAUACCUACCUGAAAACAUCGCAGUGACCUGGCAGAAAAACGGACAAGCCGUACAGUCCGGCUUUACCACCACUUCUUCCACUGAAAGCUCAAGCGAAACGUUUACCUCAGCAAGUGUGCUCAAAGUGCCUGUGAACGAAUGGGCCAGUGGUGCUGUGUACUCGUGCCAAGUAUCCCACUCUGCAACCAGCAGCAACAUCCACAAAGAAAUACGAGCUGAGUCAGAAUUCGCAUUAUUUCUCAGAGAUCCUACCGUUGAAGAAAUGUGGAUAAACAAAACUGCCACACUGGUGUGUGAAGUGAUCGCUACAACUCCAGCUGAGGUUUCCAUCUCUUGGACAGUGGGUCGGAAGGAAAGAGCUGAUGGUGUUCAAACAGAACAAGCAGCAAAGAUCGGGAGUCAGUACUUGACAGUCGGCCGUUUGACCAGCAGCGUGGCCGAGUGGGACAGCGGGGUAGAAUACUCCUGCUCGGUGCAGGACAAUCAAUCAGCUGCUCCCCUAUCAAAAAGGACACGAAACGCAAAAGCCAAAGCCGUGGAACCAAGGGUACGUCUCUUGCCCCCGUCUCCAGAGGAGAUUCAAACUGCGGGUAUCGCUACGCUUACAUGCACGAUAACGGGAUUCUACCCCGAUAACAUAACCGUUUUGUGGCAGAAGGACGGAGCCGCAUUCUACUCGAACGCUACCAGCUUCCCCACUGCACUUCAACAGGACAUGACCUUCAACACCAGAAGCCUCCUUUACUUGACUUCAGCCGAGUGGAAGAAGGACGCAACAUACUCCUGUGUCGUCACGCACCCACCUUCACAAUCUACUGUGAAAGCAAACAUCAACCCUCCGAAAAAAGACUGCCAUGAGGCUGAUAUUAAUGUCAUCAUAAAAAAGCCUUCCUUUCAAGAGAUUUGGACGCUUCAGAGAGCGACAAUUAUGUGCGAAGUGGUUUACACAGAUUUACAGAAUGUCACAGUCUCUUGGCGAGUAAAUGGCAGCCGGAGAAUCAACGGAGUAAAGACACACGGUCCAGAGUGGAGGGGAAGUAAAUCCGUCAUCGUCACCAAACUGAAGGUCAAUGUAGAGGAAUGGAACGCUGGAACCGAAUACCUGUGCUUCGUAGAAGGCCGUGAUUUGCCAACACCACUGACAAUGGCCACCAAAAAAACCAAGGUUACUGAAGUGCACCGUCCGAAAGUCUACCUCUUUUACCCAUCAGCUGAGGAGAUUCAAGCCGAGGAAGCAGCUACCCUAAUUUGCCUUGCAACCGGUUUUCAUCCGGAAGAUAUAUACGUCGGCUGGAUGGCCAAUGACACUCUUUUACCUUCCGGAAACUCCAUCCAAUUUAACAGCGAUAAAGAAAACGGCUCUAACUCGGUUACUAGCAAACUGAGGAUCAGCGCAGAAGAUUGGGAGAAGGGAACCACCUAUAGUUGUUUGGUUGGACAUCCGUCGUUACCAACAAAUUUAGUCAGAAGUAUUAAUAAAUACCACGUUAAACCUACUUUAGUUAACGUGUCACUCGUACUAACUGACAGCUUUACAUCGUGCGUCUAAUUAUGCUUGACUCAAUGACUAAUACUUUGGAAGUGUUUCUUGCUUACUGCGUAGCUGUUUGAGUUUCCGUUUUACUGAUUUACAAAAGACCACGCAUAGCAUUCACUCUUCAGAUUAUCCCACCACAAGUGAAAUAUUCCAUUAAUCUCAUCAGUUCGAUAAUGUUGUGAUGAGCUCGCGAGAACAUUAGAACGUUUUUAACUUUACAGUGAUUCUGUAAGUAUAGUACUUCGCAGAUGUUAGUAUGUUACGGAAUCGAUAGCAGAUAGCGAUUUAUUCUGUAUGCCACAUUACAUUGAAAUAAAUUCAGCAUGAAAACC